UAGGAAUAUUGGACAAUGGGUGAGAGCCUGAUCCAGCCAUGCCGCGUGCAGGAAGAAGGCGUUAUGCGUUGUAAACUGCUUUUUGCCAGGGGAAUAAAAAGACCGUGCGCGGUUAAUUGAAGGUACCUGGUGAAUAAGCCACGGCUAACUACGUGCCAGCAGCCGCGGUAAUACGUAGGUGGCAAGCGUUGUCCGGAUUUAUUGGGUUUAAAGGGUGCGUAGGUGGCCCUGUAAGUCAGUGGUGAAAUAUCUCAGCUUAACUGAGAGGGUGCCAUUGAUACUGCAGGGCUUGAGUACAGAUGAGGUAGGCGGAAUUGACGGUGUAGCGGUGAAAUGCAUAGAUAUCGUCAAGAACACCGAUAGCGAAGGCAGCUUACCAAGCUGUAACUGACACUGAGGCACGAAAGUGUGGGGAUCAAACAGGAUUAGAUACCCAUGUAGUCCCUGAGCGGGCUGGCAAGGCGCAU
RNAcentral lists this ribosomal RNA (467 nucleotides) under uncultured bacterium. Its description in RNAcentral is "bacterial SSU rRNA". It matches the Rfam family "Bacterial small subunit ribosomal RNA", at positions 356 to 825 of the family's 1533-position model. The record is from RNAcentral.